This 301-nucleotide signal recognition particle RNA is filed under the name Cebus imitator (Panamanian white-faced capuchin). RNAcentral's name for it is "Metazoan signal recognition particle RNA (ENSCCAG00000013117.1)". It matches the Rfam family "Metazoan signal recognition particle RNA". Rfam says of the family: The signal recognition particle (SRP) is a universally conserved ribonucleoprotein. It is involved in the co-translational targeting of proteins to membranes. The record is from RNAcentral. Lineage: Eukaryota; Metazoa; Chordata; Mammalia; Primates; Cebidae.
GCUGGACGUGGUGGCACAUGCCUGUAGUCCCAGCUACUUGGGAGGCUGAGGCUGGAGAAUCUCUUUAGUCCAGGAGCUCUGGGCUGUAGUGUGCUAUGCCGAUCGGAUGUCUGCACAAAGUUCAGCAUCACUAUGGUGACCUCCCGGGAGUGGGGGACCACCAGGUUGCCAAAGGAGGGAUGAACUGGCCCAAUUCGGAAACAGAGCAGGUCAAAACUCCCUGCUGAUCAGUAGUGGGAUCACGCCUGAGAACAGCCACUGCACUCCAGCCUGGGCAACAUAGUGAGACCCCGGAGUCUCU